This is a long non-coding RNA of Lampris incognitus (smalleye Pacific opah), 559 nucleotides long. RefSeq lists it as uncharacterized. The transcript is spliced from 3 exons. The record is from RefSeq and is a predicted model, not a curated record. NCBI's taxonomy places the organism in Eukaryota, Metazoa, Chordata, Actinopteri, Lampriformes, Lampridae.
CCGGACUACAAUUUUAUUCAAUCCCAAAGGAGCUAGAUCGGCGGAAUAAAUGGCUGGCUUCAAUCAGAAGGGACCACUGGAAGCCAACUUCUAACUCCAGAUUGUGCAGUCAACACUUUGUCACCGGAAGAAAAAAUGACAACCCCAUGAGCCCUGGUUAUGUACCCAGCCUGUUUGCACACACUUCAGCUGGACAGUGGCAGAAAAACAUCUAUGCCAACAAUAGAGGCUUCACUGUCAAAGAUACGGUUGGCCUGUAUUGUACACAGUUGAAAAUACCAGCAUUCACCAAAGGCAAGCAGCAACUGCAUCCACUGGAACUAGAAGCAACAAGGGGACUGGCUGCCAUCAGGAUCCAUGUGGAAAGAGUCAUCGGCCUGGUCAAGAACAAGUACACCAUCCUUCAGACCACUGUCUCUCUGCCAAGCAGCCACUCAAGGACAACCUACCUCCCUUGACAAGAUGGUAACUGUUUGCUGUGCUCUUCGUAAUAUUUGUCCAUCUGUGGUCCUCAGAGAAUAGACAGGCAGUAGUUGUAUGUAAAAUGUAAAACUGACAC